This 370-nucleotide unclassified non-coding RNA is filed under the name Hevea brasiliensis (rubber tree). The record is from RNAcentral. Lineage: Eukaryota; Viridiplantae; Streptophyta; Magnoliopsida; Malpighiales; Euphorbiaceae.
GUUCACACUAGCCAUGAAUUCUGCUGCAAGCUGUAUAUUCCAUUGAUAGAAGUGUGAUUAUUAAAUGUGUUAAUUACUGUGGACAUUGAAAGCUCCGUUGGUUAUUACGUGAAUUUCUUAGACUCCAACUCCACAGGCAAUUUAUUUAGCGUAAUUUAAGGUCAUUUAAAUCAGCAUAUUCAAUGAUUUCAGCAGCAGCCCUUGAAUGCAAUUCAUUUAAAGCCUUUUACUCAUGGUAUAAAAACUCUUCCAUAAUAAGCCGUAGAGCUAGUAAACUCAAAAGUGCAGCUACCUAAGUCAGCUACAUCAAGGCCCACAACAUUACCCUAAACUAUUUACUACAUAAUUUCUUUGGUAAACAGACAGUAAG